CCUACGGGUGGCAGCAGUGAGGAAUAUUGGUCAAUGGACGAAAGUCUGAACCAGCCAAGUAGCGUGAAGGAUGAAUGCCCUAUGGGUUGUAAACUUCUUUUAUAAGGGAAUAAAAAGAGCCACGUAUGCCUUUUUGCACGUACUUUAUUACUAAGGAUCGGCUAACUCCGUGCCAGCAGCCGCAGUAAUACGGAGGCGCCGGGCGUUAACCGGAUUUGUUGGGUUUAAAGGGAGCGUAGAUGGGAUGUUAAGUCAGUUGUGAAAGUCCGUGGCUCAACCGUGAAAUUGCAUGUGAUACUGGUAGUCUUGAGUACAGGGGAGGUAGGCGGAAUUCGUGGUGUAGCGGUGAAAUGCGUAGAUAUAACGAAGAACACCGAUGGCGAAGGCAGCUGACUGGACUGUGACUGACAUUGAGGCGCGAAAGCGUGGGGAUCAAACAGGAUUAGAUACCCUAGUAGUC
This 460-nucleotide ribosomal RNA is filed under the name uncultured bacterium. RNAcentral's name for it is "partial 16S ribosomal RNA". It matches the Rfam family "Bacterial small subunit ribosomal RNA", at positions 338 to 795 of the family's 1533-position model. The record is from RNAcentral.